GAAUCCGGUCCGUACAAACUCUGCAGUGUUGAAUGAUUGGUGAGUUUGUUUGCUCAUUGAUUGAAUCACUGCAGAGUUUGUACGGACCGGAUUC
This 94-nucleotide microRNA precursor is filed under the name Pan paniscus (pygmy chimpanzee). RNAcentral's name for it is "miRNA (ENSPPAG00000020163.1)". Lineage: Eukaryota; Metazoa; Chordata; Mammalia; Primates; Hominidae. The record is from RNAcentral. RNAcentral also lists the same sequence under 1 other name.